UUAUGUUUUGCAGCAGUGAGCCGCCGGGUGCUAAUGUCCGGCGACAAAAGAGGAACAACUCAGACCAUCAUCUAAGGCCCCGAAGAAUACACUAAGUUGAACUAACGAUGUGCGACUGCAGCGACAGCUAGGAUGUUAGCUUGGAAGCAGCUAUUCAUUUAAAGAGUGCGUAACAGCUCACUAGUCGAGCGGUUGUGCGUGGAUAAUAAACGGGCAUCAAGUGUAUCGCCGAAGCUAUGGACUCUACGGAGUGGUAGGGGAGCAUUCCAUCGACGUUGAAGCCGUGUCGUAAGGCAUGGUGGAGUUUAUGGAAAAGCAAAUGUAGGCAUAAGUAACGAUAAGGCGGGAGAGAAACCCGCCCACCGCAAGACCAAGGUUUCCUGAUCAACGCUAAUCGGAUCAGGGUUAGUCGGGUCCUAAGGGUAAGCCGUCAGGUGAUCUCGAUGGACAAUCGGUUAAUAUUCCGAUACCGAUGCAUACUGCGACGGAGGGACGGAGAAGCGUAAGCUGCGCCAACAUACGGAAUUGUUGGUUAAAGAGCGUAGGUAUAGGACGACGUUAAUAGCGACGUUUUGCUGAAACUCGACAGUACCGAGCGGCUACGGCCAAUCGGAUAGUCAGCCCAAGCAAGCUUCCGAGAAAAACUUCUAAGCUUCAGGUAUGCAUCGCCCGUACCGUAAACCGACACAGGUGGUCGAGGAGAGUAUCCUCAGGUGCUUGAGUGAAUCACGGAUAAGGAACUAGGCAAAUUGACCCCGUAACUUAGGGAUAAGGGGUCCCCACGUGAGUGGGGCGCAGCGAAAAGGUCCAGGCAACUGUUUAACAAAAACAUAGGGCUAUGCUAAUUCGAGAGAAGACGUAUAUGGCCUGACACCUGCCCGGUGCUGGAAGGUUAAGAGGGGAUGUUAGCGCAAGCGAAGCAUUGAAUCGAAGCCCCAGUAAACGGCGGCCGUAACUAUAACGGUCCUAAGGUAGCGAAAUUCCUUGUCGGGUAAGUUCCGACCUGCACGAAUGGUGUAAUGAUCUGGACACUGUCUCGUCCGUGAGCUCAGUGAAAUUGUAGUCCCGGUGAAGAUGCCGGGUACCCGCAACGGGACGAAAAGACCCCGUGAACCUUUACUGCAGCUUAACGCUGAAUUUGGGUGCAUGAUGUGUAGGAUAGGCAGGAGACUGCGAAGCAGGUACGCCAGUAUUCGUGGAGUCGCCGUUGAAAUACUGCCCUUUGUGUAUUUGAAUUCUAACCCUGUUCAGGGGACACCGUUUGGUGGGUAGUUUGACUGGGG
This 1283-nucleotide ribosomal RNA is filed under the name human gut metagenome. Its description in RNAcentral is "bacterial LSU rRNA". It matches the Rfam family "Bacterial large subunit ribosomal RNA", at positions 968 to 2279 of the family's 2925-position model. The record is from RNAcentral.